Molecule: ribosomal RNA, 462 nt
Filed under: uncultured bacterium
Lineage: Bacteria
Description: partial 16S ribosomal RNA
Rfam family: Bacterial small subunit ribosomal RNA
Source: RNAcentral
GACGAACGCUGGCGGCGUGCUUAACACAUGCAAGUCGAACGGAAAGGCCCUUCUGUUUACUCGAGUGGCGAACGGGAGCGUGACACUAGGGUGAUCUUCCCUUCACUUUGAGUUAAGGCUGGGAAACUGGGUCUAAUGCCGAAUAGGACCACGCGCUUCAGCGUGUGGGGGGGGAAGGUUUUGCGGCGGGGGAUGGGCUCGCGGCCUAUCAGCUUGUUGGUGGGGUAGUGGCCUACCAAGGCGACGACGGGUAGCCGGCCUGAGAGGGUGACCGGCCACACUGGGACUGAGAUACGGCCCAGACUCCUACGGGAGGCAGCAGUGGGGAAUAUUGCACAAUGGGCGGAAGCCUGAUGCAGCAACGCCGCGUGAGGGAUGACGGCCUUCGGGUUGUAAACCGCUUUCACUAGGGACGAAGCGUAAGUGACGGUAAUUAUAGAAGAAGCACCGGCUAACUACGUG